UAUAAAAUUAAAUUAUUAAAUUUAUUUUAAAUAAUUUUUAUGUUAAAAAUAUUUAUAAUAUUUUUUAGUAUAUUAAUAGAAAAAAUAUUUUUUAUUAUAGUAAAAUAGUAUUGUGAAAGAAUGUUGAAAUAGUUUGAAAAUUAUUUAAUUUUAAAGAAGAUUUUAUUUAUUGUACCUUGUGUAUCAGGGUUUAUUAAAUAAAUUUUAAAAAUUAUUAAAUUUCUCGAUUUUAAAAGAGUUAAUAUAUUAUUAAAUUUAAUGUUAUAAAAUUAUUUUAAAUAAUAUAUUGGAAGUGAUAAGUGUUUCGGUUUUAAAGGUAUCUAGUUUUUUAAGAAAUAAAUUUAAUUUAUUAAAUUAUUAUUAUUAAUUUUAUUGUUAAAUUAAUAAUUAUUAAUUUUAAAUAUUUUAUGGGAUAAGCUGUAAAAUAAAUUAUUAAAAAUAUUUAUUUAAUUUAAUAAAUUUAAGCUUAGAAGUAGCUAUUAUUUUGAAUAUUGUUAUAAUUUAUAUUAUAAAAUAAAUUAUUUAUUAAGUUUUAAUUAGUUUAUUAAAAUAUUUAUUUUAAUUAAAAAAAUAAAGUAAUAAUGAUAAAAUUAGUAUAUUUAUUGUAUAAAUUAUUUAUAUUUGAUAAGUUAGUAUAAAGAAUUCGGCAAAUUAAUAUUCGCCUGUUUAACAAAAACAUCUCUUUUUGAAUAUUAAUAAAAAGUUUAACCUGCCCACUGAUAAAAUUAAAUGGCCGCAGUAUAUUAACUGUGCAAAGGUAGCAUAAUCAUUAGUCUUUUAAUUGAAGGCUGGAAUGAAUGGUUGGACGAAAUAUUGACUGUUUCAUAUUAAUUUUUAAUGGAAUUUUAUUUUUUAGUCAAAAAGCUAAAAUAUUAUUAAAAGACGAGAAGACCCUAUAAAUCUUUAUAUUUAAUUAAUUUAUGUUAAUUAGAAAUUAAUUUAUAUCUAUUAAUUUAAAUAUUUUAUUGGGGUGAUAUUAAAAUUUAAUUAACUUUUAAUUUUAUUUAACAUUAAUUUAUGAUUAAUUGAUCCUUUAAUAUUGAUUAAAAGAAUAAGUUACUUUAGGGAUAACAGCGUAAUUUUUUUGGAGAGUUCAUAUUGAUAAAAAAUAUUGCGACCUCGAUGUUGGAUUAAGAGAUAAAUUUAGGUGUAGAAGCUUAAAAAUUAAGUCUGUUCGACUUUUAAUUUCUUACAUGAUCUGAGUUCAAACCGGUGUAAGCCAGGUUGGUUUCUAUCUUUAAUAAAUUAAAAUAUUUUAGUACGAAAGGAUCAAAUAUUUAAUAUUUAAUUAUUUAAUUUAUGAAUAUUAUUAAU
RNAcentral lists this ribosomal RNA (1314 nucleotides) under Lipoptena sp. Its description in RNAcentral is "16S ribosomal RNA". Lineage: Eukaryota; Metazoa; Arthropoda; Insecta; Diptera; Hippoboscidae. The record is from RNAcentral.